RNAcentral lists this ribosomal RNA (266 nucleotides) under uncultured Hemimycena. RNAcentral describes it as "partial large subunit ribosomal RNA". It matches the Rfam family "Eukaryotic large subunit ribosomal RNA", at positions 419 to 675 of the family's 3401-position model. Lineage: Eukaryota; Fungi; Basidiomycota; Agaricomycetes; Agaricales; Tricholomataceae. The record is from RNAcentral.
ACGCUUGAAGUCAGUCGCGUUAACCAGGGAUCAGCCUUGCUUUUGCUUGGUGUACUUCCUGGUUGAUGGGUCAACAUCAGUUUUGACUGUUGGAAAAAAGUUAGAGGAAUGUGGCAUCUUCGGAUGUGUUAUAGCCUUUGACUGUAUACAGCAGUUGGGACUGAGGAAUUCAGCACGCCGCAAGGCCGGGAUUUAUCCACGUACGUGCUUAGGAUGUUGGCAUAAUGGCUUUAAUCGACCCGUCUUGAAACACGGACCAAGGAGUC